This 72-nucleotide transfer RNA is filed under the name Nanobdellota archaeon. RNAcentral's name for it is "tRNA-Tyr". It matches the Rfam family "tRNA". Rfam says of the family: Transfer RNA (tRNA) molecules are approximately 80 nucleotides in length. Their secondary structure includes four short double-helical elements and three loops (D, anti-codon, and T loops). The record is from RNAcentral. Lineage: Archaea; Nanobdellati; Nanobdellota.
CCCGUCUUAGCUCAAUGGCAGAGCACACGGCUGUAGCCCGUGAGGUUGCCGGUUCGAGUCCGGCAGACGGGA